Long non-coding RNA from Boleophthalmus pectinirostris (great blue-spotted mudskipper), 1168 nucleotides. RefSeq lists it as uncharacterized. The transcript is spliced from 3 exons. Lineage: Eukaryota; Metazoa; Chordata; Actinopteri; Gobiiformes; Gobiidae. The record is from RefSeq and is a predicted model, not a curated record.
UUUCCUCUGUGACUAAUUGUCCAUGGGUGCACACUUGAGCGCGUUAGAAGACUUUAUUUCAUACUUGUCUCCUUCCUGUCCGAUGAAGCGUCUCUCUCCUCCGACGUGGCGCCUUCGCCAAACUGAACCUCUGUUCUCUGGUAGUUGAAAUCGGCGUGUUCGCUCCGUGGUGCUGAUCAUGUGACGCACAUUAUGUCAUAUGAUUUUCUACACGUUAUUAAGCCGUUAUUUUUGAUAUGAAUGUAGAUUAUUACUGUGUGCUGAAUGAAGAAGAGACAGUGUAGGUUUAUUGUGAAAUUGUUUGUCUCUGUAGUGUGUUUUUCUCUGUUGCUCAGUGGGAGGAGUCAGGUGGUUUAAAGUGGAGCCGUUUCUGCCUGUCAAUCAGUCUGCCGCCGGUUACACAGCCUGAUUGGCUCUUUGGUUGCUAUGACACUUGUAAACUUUAUAGCAGAGGCGUGGAGCUCCAGCACAGCACAGGACUUUAAAGACUCACAGCUACAAGUGCGGCCCAGACUCACGGCUCCAGAGCUGAAAGUCAGGCCCACAGAAGGAGAGCGGAGAGGGAGCACACACCAAACACUCACUACAUGUUUCAUUCUUCUGUUUUACACUUGGAUUUGAAAUGUUUGAGUUCAAACCUCGGACACACACUCCCCUCGUUCAGUCCGUCCCAAAGCAAAGCUCACAGGAGUUUGUUCACUUUGUCUUUUUGGAAACAGACGAGCGCAAAAUGUGAAAUAUAAAACUUCAUCAAGACUUUUUAUGUUUGCAGAAAAAUGGAGAACUCCAGAGCAGGACCAGGGUCUGGACGUAGACCCAGAGCUGAACCAGGACUAAACCAGGACUAUAUCAGGACUAAAGCAGGACUAAACCAGGACUAUAUCAGGUCUGAAGCAGGUCCUGGUCCCAGCGGAGUCUCUCUGAGCAGUAACUUCUCCAAAGACUUGGGCAUCGACUUUAAAAAAGAGCAGAGUGGAGCGUCUGCACAGCUCAGAGACGACAGCGCCCCCUAUGGACCCACCACAGAGUCUCUGACAAGUGAAAACUCCAAAGACUCACAUCAGAGAGACGAGGAUGCAAGUUUUUCUAUUGGUCAGGAUCCUCAGGCAGAAUUGGACUCCAUCUUCCAGGUCUGUGAACACAAACACACACACACACACACACACAC